RNAcentral lists this ribosomal RNA (468 nucleotides) under uncultured bacterium. RNAcentral describes it as "partial 16S ribosomal RNA". It matches the Rfam family "Bacterial small subunit ribosomal RNA", at positions 28 to 507 of the family's 1533-position model. The record is from RNAcentral.
GACGAACGCUGGCGGCGUGCUUAACACAUGCAAGUCGAACGGAAAGGCCCUGCUUUUGUGGGGUGCUCGAGUGGCGAACGGGUGAGUAACACGUGAGUAACCUGCCCUUGACUUUGGGAUAACUUCAGGAAACUGGGGCUAAUACCGGAUAGGAGCUCCUGCUGCAUGGUGGGGGUUGGAAAGUUUCGGCGGUCGGGGAUGGACUCGCGGCUUAUCAGUUUGUUGUUGGGGUAGUGGCUUACCAAGGAUUUGACGGGUAGCCGGCCUGGGAGGGAGACCGGCCACAUUGGGACUAAGAUACGGCCCAGACUCCUACAGGAGGCAGCAGUGGGGAAUAUUGCACAAUGGGCGGAAGCCUGAUGCAGCAACGCCGCGUGCGGGAUGACGGCCUUCGGGUUGUAAACCGCUUUCGCCUGUGACGAAGCGUGAGUGACGGUAAUGGGUAAAGAAGCACCGGCUAACUACGUG